ACGGGAGGCAGCAGUGGGGAAUAUUGGGCAAUGGGCGAAAGCCUGACCCAGCCACGCCGCGUGAAGGAAGAAGGUCUUCGGAUUGUAAACUUCUUUUAUCAGGGACGAAGAACGUGACGGUACCUGAUGAAUAAGCCACGGCUAACUACGUGCCAGCAGCCGCGGCAAUACGUAGGCGGCAAGCGUUAUCCGGAUUUACUGGGUGUAAAGGGCGCGUAGGCGGGGAUGCAAGUCAGAUGUGAAAUCCAUGGGCUUAACCCAUGAACUGCAUUUGAAACUGUAUCUCUUGAGUGUCGGAGAGGUAGACGGAAUUCCUAGUGUAGCGGUGAAAUGCGUAGAUAUUAGGAGGAACACCAGUGGCGAUGGCGGUCUACUGGGCGAUAACUGACGCUGAGGCGCGAAAGCGUGGGGAGCAAACAGGAUUAGAUACCCUGGUA
Molecule: ribosomal RNA, 437 nt
Filed under: uncultured Oscillospiraceae bacterium
Lineage: Bacteria; Bacillati; Bacillota; Clostridia; Eubacteriales; Oscillospiraceae
Description: bacterial SSU rRNA
Rfam family: Bacterial small subunit ribosomal RNA
Source: RNAcentral